Molecule: ribosomal RNA, 1083 nt
Filed under: Eucnemidae sp. UPOL RK0356
Lineage: Eukaryota; Metazoa; Arthropoda; Insecta; Coleoptera; Eucnemidae
Description: bacterial SSU rRNA
Rfam family: Eukaryotic small subunit ribosomal RNA
Source: RNAcentral
UUGUCUCAAAGAUUAAGCCAUGCAUGUCUCAGUACAAGCCAAAUUAAGGUGAAACCGCGAAAGGCUCAUUAAAUCAGUUAUGGUUCCUUAGAUGGUACCCACAUUUACUUGGAUAACUGUGGUAAUUCUAGAGCUAAUACAUGCAAACAGAGUUCCGACCGGAGACGGAAGGAAACGCUUUUAUUAGAACAAAACCAAUCGGCAUUUGACCAUUUACUUUCUCAAUUUUUUGGGUGGUGAUGACUUUUGUCGUACAUUUUGAUGAAUCUGAAUAAAUUUUUGCUGAUCGCACGGUCUUGCACCGGCGACGCAUCUUUCAAAUGUCUGCCUUAUCAACUGUCGAUGGUAGGUUCUGUGCCUACCAUGGUUGUAACGGGUAACGGGGAAUCAGGGUUCGAUUCCGGAGAGGGAGCCUGAGAAACGGCUACCACAUCCAAGGAAGGCAGCAGGCGCGCAAAUUACCCACUCCCGGCACGGGGAGGUAGUGACGAAAAAUAACGAUACGGGACUCAUCCGAGGCCCCGUAAUCGGAAUGAGUACACUCUAAAUCCUUUAACGAGUAUCAAUUGGAGGGCAAGUCUGGUGCCAGCAGCUGCGGUAAUUCCAGCUCCAAUAGCGUAUAUUAAAGUUGUUGCGGUUAAAAAGCUCGUAGUCGAAUUUGUGUCCCGUGCCGCCGGUUCAUCGUUCGCGGUGUUAACUGGCGUGUUCUCACGGGACGUCCUGCCGGUGGGUUUAGUCGAAACGGGCAAUGUGCUUAUACGUGUUUUCUAUGUGUGUGUGUAAUUUAGUAGUAGUAGUUCAGUUGCCUUAAUCCGCUCUGGCUAUUAUUUAUUAUUUUUACUACAUGUGGGCGCGUGUUUGUGUGUUCUCGCUAGGCGGCCCAACUUAUAAUCCCGCCGCGGUGCUCUUUACUGAGUGUCGAGGCGGGCCGGCACAUUUACUUUGAACAAAUUAGAGUGCUUAAAGCAGGCUAAAUUUUGCCUGAAUAUUGUGUGCAUGGAAUAAUGGAAUAGGACCUCGGUUCUAUUUUGUUGGUUUUCGGAACAACGAGGUAAUGAUUAAUAGGAACGGAUGGGGGCAUUC